GACGAACGCUGGCGGCGUGCUUAACACAUGCAAGUCGAACGGAAAGUCCCUGCUUUUGUGGGGUGCUCGAGUGGCGAACGGGUGAGUAACACGUGAGUAACCUGCCCUUGACUUUGGGAUAACUUCAGGAAACUGGGGCUAAUACCGGAUAGGAGCUCCUGCUGCAUGGUGGGGGUUGGAAAGUUUCGGCGGUUGGGGAUGGACUCGCGGCUUAUCAGCUUGUUGGUGGGGUAGUGGCUUACCAAGGCUUUGACGGGUAGCCGGCCUGAGAGGGUGACCGGCCAAACUGGGACUGAGAUACGGCCCAGACUCCUACGGGAGGCAGCAGUGGGGAAUAGUGCACAAUGGGCGGAAGCCUGAUGCAGCAACGCCGCGUGGGGGAUGACGGGCUUCGGGUUGUAAACCGCUUUCGCCUGUGACGAAGCGUGAGUGACGGUAAUGGGUAAAGAAGCACCGGCUAACUACGUG
Molecule: ribosomal RNA, 468 nt
Filed under: uncultured bacterium
Lineage: Bacteria
Description: partial 16S ribosomal RNA
Rfam family: Bacterial small subunit ribosomal RNA
Source: RNAcentral